RNAcentral lists this ribosomal RNA (1211 nucleotides) under uncultured bacterium. RNAcentral describes it as "bacterial SSU rRNA". It matches the Rfam family "Bacterial small subunit ribosomal RNA", at positions 134 to 1382 of the family's 1533-position model. The record is from RNAcentral.
ACCACGGGAAUAACUUGCCGAAAGGUGAGCUAAUACCCGAUGGUCUCUGAGAGCAAUCGAAGAGUAAAGUUACCCCGAGUUUUGUCGAGGGGUUUCGGGUGAGGAUGAGCCUAUGUCCUAUCAGCUAGUUGGUAAGGUAAAAGCUUACCAAGGCGAUGACGGGUAGGGGGCGUGAGAGCGCGCACCUCCACAAGGGCACUGAGACACGGGCCCUACACCUACGGGUGGCAGCAAUCGGGAAUUUUGCGCAAUGGACGAAAGUCUGACGCAGCGACACCGCGUGAGGGAUGAAAGCCUUCGGGUUGUAAACCUUACUUAAAAAGCACCGGCUAACUACGUGCCAGCAGCAGCGGUAAAACGUAGGGUGCAAGCGUUGUCCGGAUUUAUUGGGCGUAAAGAGUUCUGUAGGCGGAAGGGAAAGUAGUCAGUAAAAUUCUUGGGCUUAACCCAAAUAGGGCUGGCUAAACUACCCUUCUAGAAGUAGAGAGGGAGCAGCGGAACUGGUGGUGGAGCGGUAAAAUGCGUUGAUAUCACCAGGAACACCAAGGGCGAAGGCAGCUGCUUGGCUCUUUUCUUGACGCUGAGAGACGAAAGCGUAGGGAGCGAAACGAAUUAGAUACCCGUGUAGUCUACGCUGUAAACAAUGGAUACUGGAUGCUUGUUCUCCGCCUUUGGCGGAGAGUGGGCGUCGAAGCUAACGCGUUAAGUAUCCCGCCUGGGAAGUACGGCCGCAAGGCUAAAACUCAAAGGAAUUGACGGGGACUCGCACAAGCGGUGAGGCAUGUGGUUUAAUACGAUAUUAACCGUAGGACCUUACCCAGGUUUGACAUGCACUUGCAACCCAGCCGAAAGGCGGGGGAUCCUUCGAGGGUAGUGCACAGGUGUUGCAUGGCUGUCGUCAGCUCGAGUCGUGAGAUGUUAGGUUAAGUCCUUUAUCGAGCGCAACCCUUAUUGCUAGUUGUAUCACUCUAGCGAGACUGCCCGCGCAAGCGGGAGGAAGGUGGGGAUGAUGUCAAGUCAGCAUGGCCUUUAUGCCUGGGGCCACACACAUGCGACAAUGGUCGGGACAACGGGUUGCCACUCCGUAAGGAGAAGCCAAUCCCUAAAAACCGACCUCAGUUCAGAUUGAAGGCUGCAACUCGCCUUCAUGAAGUUGGAAUCGCUAGUAAUCGCCGGUCAGCUAUACGGCGGUGAAUACGUUCUCGGGUCUU